UGCGAGCUGGUGCAAGUGGGCAGCACAUCCCUCUCUGGAAGGGAAGGUGGAGGUUCGAGUCCUCCGCUCGCAG
Molecule: transfer RNA, 73 nt
Filed under: Micromonospora sp. CB01531
Lineage: Bacteria; Bacillati; Actinomycetota; Actinomycetes; Micromonosporales; Micromonosporaceae
Also listed under: 1 other name
Rfam family: tRNA
About the family: Transfer RNA (tRNA) molecules are approximately 80 nucleotides in length.
Source: Rfam by way of RNAcentral